Molecule: ribosomal RNA, 437 nt
Filed under: Enterococcus faecium
Lineage: Bacteria; Bacillati; Bacillota; Bacilli; Lactobacillales; Enterococcaceae
Description: bacterial SSU rRNA
Rfam family: Bacterial small subunit ribosomal RNA
Source: RNAcentral
GCGCAACCCUUAUUGUUAGUUGCCAUCAUUCAGUUGGGCACUCUAGCAAGACUGCCGGUGACAAACCGGAGGAAGGUGGGGAUGACGUCAAAUCAUCAUGCCCCUUAUGACCUGGGCUACACACGUGCUACAAUGGGAAGUACAACGAGUUGCGAAGUCGCGAGGCUAAGCUAAUCUCUUAAAGCUUCUCUCAGUUCGGAUUGCAGGCUGCAACUCGCCUGCAUGAAGCCGGAAUCGCUAGUAAUCGCGGAUCAGCACGCCGCGGUGAAUACGUUCCCGGGCCUUGUACACACCGCCCGUCACACCACGAGAGUUUGUAACACCCGAAGUCGGUGAGGUAACCUUUUUGGAGCCAGCCGCCUAAGGUGGGAUAGAUGAUUGGGGUGAAGUCGUAACAAGGUAGCCGUAUCGGAAGGUGCGGCUGGAUCACCUCCUUU